This 441-nucleotide ribosomal RNA is filed under the name uncultured bacterium. RNAcentral describes it as "partial 16S ribosomal RNA". It matches the Rfam family "Bacterial small subunit ribosomal RNA", at positions 338 to 795 of the family's 1533-position model. The record is from RNAcentral.
CCUACGGGAGGCAGCAGUGGGGGAUAUUGCACAAUGGGGGGAACCCUGAUGCAGCGACGCCGCGUGGGUGAAGGAGUGCUUCGGCAUGUAAAGCCCUAUCGGCAGGGAAGAAGCAAGACGGUACCUGACUAAGAAGCCCCGACUAACUACGUGCCAGCAGCCGCGGGAAUACGUAGGGGGCGAGCGUUAUCGGGAUGCAGUGGGUGUAAGGGGAGCGUAGACGGCCAUGGAAGCCAGGGGUGAAAGCCCGGGGCCCAACCCCGGGACUGCCCUUGGAACUGCAUGGCUGGAGUGCGGGAGGGGCAGGCGGAAUUCCUGGUGUAGCGGUGAAAUGCGCAGAGAUAAGGAGGAACACCGGCGGCGAAGGCGGCCUGCUGGACCGCGACUGACGUUGAGGCUCGAAAGCGUGGGGAGCGAACAGGAUUAGAUACCCUUGUAGUC